GACGAACGCUGGCGGCGUGCUUAACACAUGCAAGUCGAACGGUAAGGCCCUUCGGGGUACACGAGUGGCGAACGGGUGAGUAACACGUGGGUGAUCUGCCCUGCACUUCGGGAUAAGCCUGGGAAACUGGGUCUAAUACCGGAUAGGACCACUGCCUGCAUGGGUGGUGGUGGAAAGCUUUUGCGGUGUGGGAUGGGCCCGCGGCCUAUCAGCUUGUUGGUGGGGUGAUGGCCUACCAAGGCGACGACGGGUAGCCGGCCUGAGAGGGUGACCGGCCACACUGGGACUGAGAUACGGCCCAGACGCCUACGGGAGGCAGCAGUGGGGAAUAUUGCACAAUGGGCGCAGGCCUGAUGCAGCGACGCCGCGUGAGGGAUGACGGCCUUCGGGUUGUAAACCUCUUUCAGCACCGACGAAGCGCAAGUGACGGUAGGUGCAGAAGAAGGACCGGCCAACUACGUGCCAGCCGCCGCAGUAA
RNAcentral lists this ribosomal RNA (478 nucleotides) under uncultured bacterium. RNAcentral's name for it is "partial 16S ribosomal RNA". It matches the Rfam family "Bacterial small subunit ribosomal RNA", at positions 28 to 523 of the family's 1533-position model. The record is from RNAcentral.